This 446-nucleotide ribosomal RNA is filed under the name uncultured bacterium. RNAcentral describes it as "bacterial SSU rRNA". It matches the Rfam family "Bacterial small subunit ribosomal RNA", at positions 1078 to 1533 of the family's 1533-position model. The record is from RNAcentral.
UGGUUAGUCGGCACGAGCGCACCCUGUUUCUAGUUGCCAGCAAGUAAUGUUGGGGACUCUAGAAAGACUGCCUGCGUAAGCAGAGAGGAAGGAGGGGACGACGUCAAAUCAGCAUGGCCCUUAUGCCUAGGGCUACACACGUGCUACAAUGGCGUAUACAAAGGGUAGCGAGCCAGCGAUGGUAAGCCAAUCUCUAAAAGUACGUCUCAGUUCGGAUUGAAGUCUGCAACUCGACUUCAUGAAGCUGGAAUCGCUAGUAAUCGUGUAUCAGCAAUGACACGGUGAAUACGUUCCCGGACCUUGUACACACCGCCCGUCAAGCCAUGGAAGUUGGAAAUACCUGAAGAUGGUUGCUGUAAGGCGCUGUUUAGGGUAGAGCUAGCAACUGGGGCUAAGUCGUAACAAGGUAGCCGUACCGGAAGGUGUGGCUGGAAUACCUCCUUUCU